Molecule: ribosomal RNA, 619 nt
Filed under: uncultured bacterium
Lineage: Bacteria
Description: bacterial SSU rRNA
Rfam family: Bacterial small subunit ribosomal RNA (bases 1-540)
Source: RNAcentral
CCUACGGGAGGCAGCAGUGGGGAAUUUUGGACAAUGGACGCAAGUCUGAUCCAGCAAUGCCGCGUGCAGGACGAAGGCCUUCGGGUUGUAAACUGCUUUUGUACGGAACGAAACGGUCUGCUUUAAUACAGUGGGCUAAUGACGGUACCGUAAGAAUAAGCACCGGCUAACUACGUGCCAGCAGCCGCGGUAAUACGUAGGGUGCGAGCGUUAAUCGGAAUUACUGGGCGUAAAGCGUGCGCAGGCGGUUAUAUAAGUCAGAUGUGAAAUCCCCGGGCUCAACCUGGGACCUGCAUUUGAGACUGUAUAGCUAGAGUACGGUAGAGGGGGAUGGAAUUCCGCGUGUAGCAGUGAAAUGCGUAGAUAUGCGGAGGAACACCGAUGGCGAAGGCAAUCCCCUGGACCUGUACUGACGCUCAUGCACGAAAGCGUGGGGAGCAAACAGGAUUAGAUACCCUGGUAGUCCACGCCCUAAACGAUGUCAACUGGUUGUUGGGUCUUCACUGACUCAGUAACGAAGCUAACGCGNGAGUAGACGCGNGGNGGUAACGGUCGCGAGUUAGUAACGUUACAAUAGAGUUGNGGNGNGAGAGNGCGAGGACGACGACGAGGGAGGAGG